CAGUAGCCGCGGUAAUACGGAGGGUGCAAGCGUUAUCCGGACUCACUGGGUUUAAAGGGUGCGUAGGCGGGCAGGUAAGUCAGUGGUGAAAUCUUCGAGCUUAACUCGGAAACUGCCGUUGAUACUAUCUGUCUUGAAUAACGUUGAGGUGAGCGGAAUAUGUCAUGUAGCGGUGAAAUGCUUAGAUAUGACAUAGAACACCAAUUGCGAAGGCAGCUGGCUACACAACUAUUGACGCUGAGGCACGAAAGCGUGGGGAUCAAACAGGAUUAGAUACCCCGGUAGUCCCUGUCUCUUAUAA
RNAcentral lists this ribosomal RNA (301 nucleotides) under uncultured bacterium. RNAcentral's name for it is "partial 16S ribosomal RNA". It matches the Rfam family "Bacterial small subunit ribosomal RNA", at positions 509 to 809 of the family's 1533-position model. The record is from RNAcentral.